RNA transcript from Loxodonta africana (African savanna elephant), 4550 nucleotides. It is a transcript of the gene named RAB3A interacting protein, with no coding region annotated. The record is from RefSeq and is a predicted model, not a curated record. Lineage: Eukaryota; Metazoa; Chordata; Mammalia; Proboscidea; Elephantidae. The transcript is spliced from 12 exons.
AGAGUAGCGGGCUCGGUGCCCUGUCCUCCUCCGCCUUUUGCUCCCUCGGAGUGCGCUCUCUGCGGCUCUGCGAGCGUCCCUGAGCGCGGGCAGCGGCCACCGUGGGUUCGUCAGGUUAUCUUAUGAUGAAGCUUUUGCUAUGGCUAAUGACCCCUUGGAAGGGUUCCAUGAAGUAAACCUUGCUUCACCUACUUCUCCGGAACUUCUUGGUGUGUAUGAAUCGGGAACUCAGGAGCAGACUACCUCACCAAGUGUCAUCUACCGGCCACAUCCUUCAGCUUUAUGCUGUGCCCCUGUCCAGGCUAAUGCAUUAGAUGUUUCUGACCUUCCUACACAACCUGUGUAUUCGUCCCCCAGACGUUUAAAUUGUGCAGAAAUAUCUAAUAUCAGCAUCCAUGUUACGGACCUAGCACCUUGUUCUACCUCUGGAGUCACAACUAAAUUAACUACGAGAAAGGACAACUGUAAUGCAGAGAGAGAGUUUUUACAAGGUGCUACUGUAACAGAGGCUUGUGAUGGCAGUGAUGAUAUUUUUGGGUUGAGUACUGAUAGUUUGUCCCGUUUACGAAGCCCAUCUGUUUUGGAAGUCAGAGAAAAGGGGUAUGAAAGAUUAAAAGAAGAACUUGCAAAAGCUCAAAGGGAACUGAAGUUAAAAGAUGAAGAAUGCGAAAGGCUUUCUAAAGUACGAGAUCAGCUUGGACAGGAAUUGGAAGAACUCACAGCUAGUCUGUUUGAGGAAGCUCAUAAGAUGGUGAGAGAAGCAAAUGUCAAGCAGGCAACAGCAGAAAAACAGCUAAAGGAAGCACAAGGAAAAAUUGAUGUACUUCAAGCUGAAGUAGCUGCAUUGAAGACACUCGUAUUGUCCAGUUCUCCAACAUCACCUACGCAAGAGCCUCUGCCAGGUGGAAAGACACCUUUUAAAAAGGGGCAUACAAGAAAUAAAAGUACAAGCAGUGCUAUGACUGGCAGUCAUCAGGACCUCAGUGUGAUACAGCCAAUUGUAAAAGACUGCAAAGAGGCUGAUUUGUCUCUGUAUAAUGAAUUCAGAUCUUGGAAGGAUGAUCCCACAAUGGACAGAACUUGCCCUUUCUUGGACAAAAUCUACCAGGAAGAUAUCUUUCCAUGUUUAACAUUCUCAAAAAGUGAGUUGGCUUCAGCUGUUCUUGAGGCUGUGGAAAACAAUACUCUCAGCAUUGAACCAGUGGGAUUACAGCCUAUUCGAUUUGUGAAGGCUUCUGCAGUUGAAUGUGGAGGACCAAAAAAAUGCGCCCUCACUGGCCAGAGUAAGUCCUGUAAACACAGAAUUAAAUUAGGAGACUCAAGCAACUAUUAUUACAUUUCUCCCUUUUGCAGAUACAGGAUCACUUCUGUGUGUAACUUUUUUACAUACAUACGAUAUAUUCAGCAGGGACUCGUGAAACAGCAGGAUGCUGAAUGUUAUAAAAACUGACAUGGCUUGCCAGCUCCAAAGAAGUGUUUCUUGAUUACGCGUGACUGUUUUAAAAUAGAAAUAGCAGUUGAUCAGAUGUUUUGGGAAGUUAUGCAGUUGAGAAAAGAGAUGUCAUUGGCAAAGCUGGGAUAUUACAAAGAGGAACUCUGAUGCUCUCUCUGCCUGGGAACAUGCAUGAACCUCCCUGAAUAACUGAAAAAUGGCUGAAUAUUUUUAUGGUUACUUGAUAUUUAUUUCCAAGGAGUGGGCCCAAGACUUUUUCACUUUUUUGCAAAUUACACUAAGAAGUACUGUGAUUUGUUUUAAACUGACCUAUGCUGUGUUUGCUUAUUCUUUAGUUGAACACACUAUAAAGAAGAAUUACAGGUGUACUAGUGAUUGUAAUUUAUAGUUGCGCAAAAAAAAAAAAAAAAACCCUAAAUAAAUACAUGUUAGAUUGAAUGUGUUUUUGCCUUCUCUUCUACCUCUGACAUGCCAUAUAGGGUCAACUGAAUUUCAUAUAGUAGUUGUCAAACGGUGCAACAACCUAUGAGAGGCAAGGAAGAAGGUUGGGUGGACAGGACUCAGCUUUCAUACCCUCACUAGAAUGGCUCUGUCUUUAUCUGUUUUAUAUGUUGGGCUUCGAAAAAGAUUUUAUAUGAAGAAAGACUUCUACCAAAAAAAAUUGAAAAGUUACUGGUUUAAUUAUUCUGCUCAGUAAUUUAAAGAACCCCUUUAUUCUGGUUAUUUGUUAAAGGUAAAGGUAGAAGACAGUCAAAUUUUAUCCCAGAGAUGCAUUCUUGAACAAAUUAAUAUAAGGUCUUCAUAUUUUCUAUAUGUUGAGGACUGUAGUAGGGAUGGAGCCCUGGUGGCACAGUGGUUAAGCAUUUGGCUGCUAACCAAAAGGUCAGCAGUUCGAAUCCACCAGCUGCUCCUAGGAAACCUGGCAGUUCUACUCAGUCCUGUAGGGCUGUUAUGUGUCAGAACUGACUCAGUAGCAACAGGUACAGGUAAUAGGCGUUGGAGGGAUAUAAAGGUAAAUAGUGUGUGAUGUGUGCUCAAGGGAGUUUGAAGGUGUGUGGGUUGCAAGAGUAGUACAUGCAAAGUAUAUACUGAUCAUAGAAACACUUCAUCUGUAAGUUCCAAGUUGUAAAACUGAUAUCAUAUAGAGGAGCUACUUACUAAAAUUAAUUCCAAAAGAGGCUCAUGUAGAAAUGAAGUAAAGAAAGGCAGGAAGAAGAAAUGAGAAACCACUUCAAUCUCUCCAUCCAGAGACAGCUACUGUUAAUAUUUUUGGAGAAUAGUCUUUCAGUUUUUAGAAGUUUUCUACCUAGAUAUGCAUACGUCUGAAACAAAAAAAUAGACUUGCUUGCUUUUUUGCCUAAAUACUUUCCCCCUGUUGGUAAGUCUACACCAUCUUGAUCACUGUAUGAUUUUGACAAUAUUUAACUAGUUGUGUUUGGACUUUAAGUUGUUUUCAAUUUUUUUGUAUAUCGUAAUGCUGUGGUAAGUAUCCUUGUGUAUACCUCUUUAAAUAUUGUUAGGCUAUUUCAUUAAUGUGAAUGCCUAGAAGUAAAAUUGCUAUGUUAAGGUGUACAAACAUGUAUUGCAAAAUUUUUGAUCUACAUUACAAAAAUCUCCUUAGAAAAGUGGAACCAGUUUAUAUUCACAGCAGCAGUGUAUGAGAAAGCUGGUUUUCUGAAGAUGCUGUUUUUUCCAAUUCUGUCUCAGAGGUUUGGACAACUUCACCUCCACAAAGUUUGGUCACCAGGCUGGAUGGAAGACCAUAGACAAAAGGCUUAUCAGUGGUAUGGUUGAAACCAUCAUUACCAUGGUUUAGUCAUACCAGCUCAAGAGUCUGAGAUUGAACAUGAAAAGGACUUUGAGCCUGGAAUUUUAUUUCUUGAUAGUUAUUUUAAUGAGAGUGUAAUAAGAAUAUUGUUAAUUAUUCAAAGCUUCAGAAGAUUUUUGACACAAAAACAAAUUGAAGAUCCUUUUGAAGAAAAACAAUAUCAAAAAUGAUGUCACUUCUCUCCAAAUUUAUCUAUAGAUUCAGUGCAUCUCAAAACUAAAUUCUACCAUUUCUCCUGGAAUUGAAAAAUGAUUGGAAAUUUAUUUGGCAGCAUAGAAGAUGGAGAACCACCAAGGCACUCUGAAGAAAAAUUUUGAGGAGGGGAAUUUGUCCUACCACAAGGACUUUGGACAUGGAACUAGGGAUAUGAUUGCUGAUGUCUGAAGGAUCCUGGCUGAAAGAAGAGAAUAUCAGAAGGAUGUUUACAUGUGUUUUAUUGACUAUGCAGAGGCACUCGACUGUAUGGGUCAUAACAAACCAUGGAUAACAUUGUGAAGAAUGGAAAUACCAGAACACUUAAUUGUGCUCAUGAGGAACCUGUACAUAGAGAAAGAGGCCAUCAUUUGAACAGAGCAACAGGAUACUGUGUGGUUUAAAAUCAGGAAAGGUGUGAAUCAGGGUUGUAUCCUUUCACCAUACUUAUUCAAUUGGUAUGCUAAGCAAAUACUCAGAGAAGGAAGACAAUAUGAAGAAGAACGCAGCAUCAGGAAUGGAGGAAGACUCAUUAACAACCUAUGAUACACAGAUGACACAAGCUUCCUGUAAGUGAAGAGGACUUGAAACACUGAGGAAGAUCAAAGACCACAGCCUUCAGUAUGGAUUACAUCUUAAAAUAAAAAUCCUCAGGUAGACCAAUAAGCAACAUCAUGAUAAAGGGAGAAAAUAUUGAAAUUGUCAGGCAUUUCAUUUUACUUGUAUCUGCAAUCAACAAUUGAAGCAGCAGUCAAGAAAUCAAACAAUUACCAGAACUAAAACCAUUUCUGAAGCCCCCUCUUCAGACAAAUUAGACUGGAAUAUAAAACAAAAUAAUACUCGUGAAGAGUGUGUUUCUUAGUUCAAUCAGAUAAACGACACGAAAUGGCUGGCUCCUGUCUGGAAGCAGGAUGAGAAGGCAGGAAGGGACAAGAACUGCUUGAAUGCACACAAGAAACCUGGGGUGGAAAGAGGGGAGUGUGCUGUCGCAUUAUAGGAAUUGUAACUAAUGUCACAUACCAAAACCAACCAAACCCGUUGCCGUCGAGUCAAUUCUGACUCAUAGCGACACUAUAG